RNAcentral lists this ribosomal RNA (497 nucleotides) under uncultured bacterium. RNAcentral's name for it is "partial 16S ribosomal RNA". It matches the Rfam family "Bacterial small subunit ribosomal RNA", at positions 28 to 507 of the family's 1533-position model. The record is from RNAcentral.
GAUGAACGCUGGCGGCGUGCCUAAUACAUGCAAGUCGAGCGAACAGACGAGGAGCUUGCUCCUCUGACGUUAGCGGCGGACGGGUGAGUAACACGUGGAUAACCUACCUAUAAGACUGGGAUAACUUCGGGAAACCGGAGCUAAUACCGGAUAACAUGUUGAACCGCAUGGUUUAACAGUGAAAGACGGUCUUGCUGUCACUUAUAGAUGGAUCCGCCCCGCAUUAGCUAGUUGGUAAGGUAACGGCUUACCAAGGCAACGAUGCGUAGCCGACCUGAGAGGGUGAUCGGCCACACUGGAACUGAGACACGGUCCAGACUCCUACGGGAGGCAGCAGUAGGGAAUCUUCCGCAAUGGGCGAAAGCCUGACGGAGCAACGCCGCGUGAGUGAAGAAGGUCUUCGGAUCGUAAAACUCUGUUAUUAGGGAAGAACAAAUGUGUAAGUAACUAUGCACGUCUUGACGGUACCUAAUCAGAAAGCCACGGCUAACUACGUG